UGAUGACCGUACAGGUGGCCGAACCUGGGA
This 30-nucleotide non-coding RNA is filed under the name Homo sapiens (human). The record is from RNAcentral. Lineage: Eukaryota; Metazoa; Chordata; Mammalia; Primates; Hominidae.